UACGUAGGGUGCGAGCGUUGUCCGGAAUUACUGGGCGUAAAGAGCUUGUAGGCGGUUUGUCGCGUCGCUCGUGAAAAUUCACAGCUCAACUGUGGACGUGCGGGCGAUACGGGCAGACUAGAGUGCUGCAGGGGAGACCGGAAUUCCUGGUGUAGCGGUGAAAUGCGCAGAUAUCAGGAGGAACACCGGUGGCGAAGGCGGGUCUCUGGGCAGUAACUGACGCUGAGAAGCGAAAGCGUGGGUAGCGAACAGG
This 253-nucleotide ribosomal RNA is filed under the name uncultured prokaryote. Its description in RNAcentral is "partial 16S ribosomal RNA". It matches the Rfam family "Bacterial small subunit ribosomal RNA", at positions 524 to 776 of the family's 1533-position model. The record is from RNAcentral.